GACGAACGCUGGCGGCGUGCUUAACACAUGCAAGUCGAACGGAAAGGCCCUGCUUUUGUGGGGUGCUCGAGUGGCGAACGGGUGAGUAACACGUGAGUAACCUGCCCUUGACUUUGGGAUAACUUCAGGAAACUGGGGAUAAUACCGGAUAGGAGCUCCUGCUGCAUGGUGGGGGUUGGAAAGUUUCGGCGGUUGGGGAUGGUCUCGCGGCUUAUCCGCUUGUUGGUGGGGUAGUGGCUUACCAAGGCUUUGACGGGUAGCCGGCCUGGGAGGGUUACCGGCCACAUUGGGACUGAGAUACGGCCCAGACUCCUACGGGAGGCAGCAGGGGGGAAUAUUGCACAAUGGGCGGAAGCCUGAUGCAGCAACGCCGCGUGCGGGAUGACGGCCUUCGGGUUGUAAACCGCUUUCGCCUGUGACGAAGCGUGAGUGACGGUAAUGGGUAAAGAAGCACCGGCUAACUACGUG
This 468-nucleotide ribosomal RNA is filed under the name uncultured bacterium. RNAcentral describes it as "partial 16S ribosomal RNA". It matches the Rfam family "Bacterial small subunit ribosomal RNA", at positions 28 to 507 of the family's 1533-position model. The record is from RNAcentral.